Molecule: signal recognition particle RNA, 267 nt
Filed under: Paenibacillus mendelii
Lineage: Bacteria; Bacillati; Bacillota; Bacilli; Caryophanales; Paenibacillaceae
Description: signal recognition particle sRNA large type
Rfam family: Bacterial large signal recognition particle RNA
About the family: The signal recognition particle (SRP) is a universally conserved ribonucleoprotein involved in the co-translational targeting of proteins to membranes.
Source: RNAcentral
CCGUGCUAGAUGGGGAGGUAGCGGUGCCCUGUAACUCGCAAUCCGCUACAGCGAGGUUGAAUUCCUAUUAGAGGUUAUGUCGAUGUGGGGUCUGGCGGUUAGGAACAGUGUUGACGGACGGGUCCUCCGCAAUGGACACCUGUGAACCCGGUCAGGUCCGGAAGGAAGCAGCCGUAAGCAGGUUCGUUCAUGUGCCGGAGGAGUGCCUGUCCCGAGCUGGGAAUAACCAUGCCGCCCGGAUCGCAUAUAUCGAAGAUAGGUGCACGG